AACGAACGCUGGCGGCAGGCUUAACACAUGCAAGUCGAACGAGAAGCUCACUUCGGUGAGUGGAAAGUGGCAGACGGGUGAGUAACGCGUGGGAACAUACCCAGAGGUACGGAAUAACGCAGGGAAACUUGUGCUAAUACCGUAUACGCCCUUCGGGGGAAAGAUUUAUCGCCUUUGGAAUGGCCCGCGUUAGAUUAGUUUGUUGGUGGGGUAAUGGCCUACCAAGACUACGAUCUAUAGCUGGUCUGAGAGGAUGAUCAGCCACACUGGGACUGAGACACGGCCCAG
This 288-nucleotide ribosomal RNA is filed under the name uncultured bacterium. Its description in RNAcentral is "partial 16S ribosomal RNA". It matches the Rfam family "Bacterial small subunit ribosomal RNA", at positions 29 to 334 of the family's 1533-position model. The record is from RNAcentral.